Molecule: ribosomal RNA, 558 nt
Filed under: Corynebacterium sp.
Lineage: Bacteria; Bacillati; Actinomycetota; Actinomycetes; Mycobacteriales; Corynebacteriaceae
Description: bacterial SSU rRNA
Rfam family: Bacterial small subunit ribosomal RNA
Source: RNAcentral
GCUUGCUGGGGUACACGAGUGGCGAACGGGUGAGUAACACGUGGGUGACCUGCCCCGCACUUCGGGAUAAGCCUGGGAAACUGGGUCUAAUACCGGAUAGGACCGCACCGUGAGGGUGUGGUGGAAAGUUUUUCGGUGUGGGAUGGGCCCGCGGCCUAUCAGCUUGUUGGUGGGGUAAUGGCCUACCAAGGCGGCGACGGGUAGCCGGCCUGAGAGGGUGGACGGCCACAUUGGGACUGAGACACGGCCCAGACUCCUACGGGAGGCAGCAGUGGGGAAUAUUGCACAAUGGGCGGAAGCCUGAUGCAGCGACGCCGCGUGGGGGAUGACGGCCUUCGGGUUGUAAACUCCUUUCACCAUCGACGAAGGUUUUCUGACGGUAGAUGGAGAAGAAGCACCGGCUAACUACGUGCCAGCAGCCGCGGUAAUACGUAGGGUGCGAGCGUUGUCCGGAAUUACUGGGCGUAAAGAGCUCGUAGGUGGUUUGUCGCGUCGUCUGUGAAAUUCCGGGGCUUAACUCCGGGCGUGCAGGCGAUACGGGCAUAACUUGAGUACUGU